UGUUAGCACAAGAGGAGGCUGACAUCAAUGGAAAUAUAUACGGUGUAUAACAGGGACAAUUUUCCUCAACGAAAACAUGGAUCACUUGCUGUACGUUAUUUAUUUCUGUCAUAAGAUUCAAAGGCAAUGUGAUAUAGCAUAAAAUAAAGAACCCCAGACGAGACGUGUCAACGUGGCUGAAAGAACCGGAACUGGUGCAAAAGGUCCUCUGGUCUCCGACUGUCUGAAGAGGACAUUUCUACAAAGAUCAUGUGUCAGUCAAUCAGCGCUACAGUGAGCUUGGACUACAUUAGGCAGUGCGGGAAAUGUUGACUCUGCUGGGGGAAGGAGGAGGAGGGCAACAGAGACAUGCACAGCCCCCCUGUAAAUCCGGCUUUUGUUGAACAGCAACUGACCAGCCCACCUGUUCCGGUUUUCAGUCUAUUCUAAUAUUGGAGGCAUAACAAGGUGCUGCUGUGAUGCUGAGCAGAGCCUCUGCAGACACUGCAAUACCUCAACACUACAAACUAGACCCAAGUUGUAAACAGCGAUUAAACCUGUGCCUUGGUUCUAUUCUAUAGGUAUUGACCCAUAUGCCUCAUUUAUUUUCAAAAGGUUGCAAUGU
This is a long non-coding RNA of Electrophorus electricus (electric eel), 604 nucleotides long. RefSeq lists it as uncharacterized. The record is from RefSeq and is a predicted model, not a curated record. Lineage: Eukaryota; Metazoa; Chordata; Actinopteri; Gymnotiformes; Gymnotidae.